AAGGGUUUAGCUUAAUUAAAGUAUCUGUUUUGCAUACAGGUGAUGUAGGUUUAUAAACUUGCAAUCCUUA
RNAcentral lists this transfer RNA (70 nucleotides) under Proechimys roberti (Roberto's spiny-rat). RNAcentral describes it as "tRNA-Ala". It matches the Rfam family "tRNA". Rfam says of the family: Transfer RNA (tRNA) molecules are approximately 80 nucleotides in length. Their secondary structure includes four short double-helical elements and three loops (D, anti-codon, and T loops). Lineage: Eukaryota; Metazoa; Chordata; Mammalia; Rodentia; Echimyidae. The record is from RNAcentral.